CAGCAGCCGCGGUAAUACGUAGGGUGCAAGCGUUAAUCGGAAUUACUGGGCGUAAAGCGUGCGCAGGCGGUUAUAUAAGACAGAUGUGAAAUCCCCGGGCUCAACCUGGGAACUGCAUUUGUGACUGUAUAGCUAGAGUACGGCAGAGGGGGAUGGAAUUCCGCGUGUAGCAGUGAAAUGCGUAGAUAUGCGGAGGAACACCGAUGGCGAAGGCAAUCCCCUGGGCCUGUACUGACGCUCAUGCACGAAAGCGUGGGGAGCAAACAGGAUUAGAUACCCCAGUAGUCCCUGUCCUUAUACA
This 301-nucleotide ribosomal RNA is filed under the name uncultured bacterium. Its description in RNAcentral is "partial 16S ribosomal RNA". It matches the Rfam family "Bacterial small subunit ribosomal RNA", at positions 509 to 809 of the family's 1533-position model. The record is from RNAcentral.